UUCACAGGGAAGCCGCAGAGAGGACGGGUCAACAGGCCACGGCGUCAGCACGACUUCACAGCUCAAAAAUACAGUAUUCAAGACUAUUUCAUUUAUUGCCUGGCAUGUGAUGACCAACGCAAUGCCAACUACAGGUCACUGAUAGAGGGUCAAAAUUACCUAAGCUCCAGAUGGGUUGGUCAAAUAUUGCAUAACCUACCAGAUGAGGAACACAUCACUCUUAAAUGACCUGUCCGGUACUCCCAGUCCAUCUACAACCAUCAUAAUGUUGAAAUAACUCUGCAGAGGAGGGAUGGCAAAGUAACAGAGGAAAGUGUUGCAGUCAUACAGCAGCUCUACUUUACAAAGUGAAACAGACUGUGACCCAAGGCUUUACAGGUACUGCCUGCACCGACGAAGCAUGUGCCUGGAACAAAUCCUCUUGGAAAAAUGUGGUGCCAGAUACAGUAGAGAACAUUCAAGUGCCAGACCAUGAACCUGGAAAAUGUAUGAAAAUUACAUCUACAGCAUUUGAGUCAGAUGCAAAUGUUGUUAGACAGUUUUCAUUGCCUGAGAUGGCUGGUUUAGCCUGUAUACCUGGAACAAUUUUACAUCAUGUGUUGACUGCACAGCCACGGAAAAAUGUAAAUGCAAAUGCACAAACGAUACAUCAUGCACAGUGUGCUGAAGACAAAUGUAAACUCUGCAAUGACAUUUUUGAAAAAUUUGUAAAAUGUGGGAAAGAUGGGAGAGAAAGUAUAGAAUCAAAAACAAAGGGGCAGAAUUGUCAAUUUUGGCUAGACCAGAGAAAAAUUUGAAUAACUAGCAGUGAGGCAUCUGACGUUCCUAAAAAAGCUGACCCAACCAUCUGGGUUGAAAGAAAACUUAAUGGCAAGUUUGUUGGAAGCGCAGCCAUUAGGUAUGGACAAACAUCAGAGCCUUUGGCAAGAAAAUGUUUUGAGGAGACCACAGGAAAAACAGUAGAGACUUCAGGUCUUGUUGUGGAUGAGAGAGAAAACUGGCUUGCAGCCAGCCUUGAUGGCAUAAUUGACACAGAUACCAUCCUUGAGAUUAAGUGUCCAACACUGAAGAAGCUGGAGUCACAUGAUGGCAGUCUGCUGAAAAUGAUUGAAUCAAACAAAUAUGAGAUAAAACAUAUCAAUGGCAGAUACAUUCUUAAGGUAACUGCAUCAGGCUUAGGGUACAACUACCAGGUCCAAAUGGCAAUGCAUUGUGCAAACAAAACAUAUUGCAAGUUUCUGGUAUGGACCCCAAAUGAAUAUAUUAUCGUGGAUGUGCCAUACAACAAAGACUGGACAAUGGAGAAAAUCUGCCACCUGAAAAAGGUUUACUUUCAACAUCUACUCCCAGCAAUAGCUACAAGAAUAGCACAUGGAGUAAUGGAAAUCAGAAUCAGGUAGUUGAGGAUCACAUCCUUCUCAUCACAAUUCACUCUUAAGAGUGAAAUGUGUACAGAAAUUAGUUUCUUAAAAGCAAGUUAGGCAAACAACUGUUUCAUUUAAUCAAUUUACAUUUCAUUUUCAUUCAUAUGAAGCACUUAGUUUGGCAACAUUAGAUUAACUGUACAUGGUUUUUUUUUCUUGCAUUUUAUACAAGAAAUGACAUCACUAUUUACAAUUUACAGUUCAAAAAUGUUAAACAAAUGUGUUACAAAGUUGCUUACUUUAAAAUCAUUUGUUAGUUAGACUUAUGUAGUAUACACAUUUCACAACUGAUAUUAUAUUAUAUUUAUAUUAUAUUAUAUUCCUGCACACUAUAAAAUGACAAUGUUUCAGUUCAGAGACUUUACCAAAACAUUUUCUAAAAUCCUUUGCUUCCUGUCUGUUUGAGACAUAAGAGACGUAACUUUGAUUACAAAAAACUUCUGUAAUUGAUAACCUGUACAUUUGAAUGUGUUUUGUUGUUACUUGUUUGCUUGUUUACUUUUUUACUAUCAAUUAUUAAAAAAUGGAGAUUG
Labrus mixtus (cuckoo wrasse) is the source of this 1957-nucleotide long non-coding RNA. RefSeq lists it as uncharacterized. The transcript has 2 exons. NCBI's taxonomy places the organism in Eukaryota, Metazoa, Chordata, Actinopteri, Labriformes, Labridae. The record is from RefSeq and is a predicted model, not a curated record.